Long non-coding RNA from Ipomoea nil (Japanese morning glory), 509 nucleotides. RefSeq lists it as uncharacterized. The transcript is spliced from 2 exons. NCBI's taxonomy places the organism in Eukaryota, Viridiplantae, Streptophyta, Magnoliopsida, Solanales, Convolvulaceae. The record is from RefSeq and is a predicted model, not a curated record.
UUAUACCAAGAUAAAAGGUGAAAUCGCAUGACUUUGCUGCAAGGGAAACAUAUGUUUUUUGAGGGCUGUGACCUAAACUUCACCACUAUCUAAGCAAGCUCUCUCUCUCUCUCUCUCUCUCUCUUAUUUCUCUUCUCACCCAACAUGAGCUACACCGACUGCUUCAAUUCUCCAUAUGGGGUGGCUGCAUUCUCUCCUCUCUCCAUUAAACAAGCUUUGGAUCCAUCUGCACUCACCUCAUAAUAAGAGAAGAGGGAUAUAUAUCCUAUAUGAGGAUGUCAAGUCCUGUCCAUACGAAGAUGUUCAUGUGCUUUGGUCCAUACUGGUGGAGUCGCACCAACCAUCCAGAUGAGGCUUAAAUAUUUCAUCAUCACCAUGUAAAUAUGUGAUUGUAAUUUCUACAAGUUUCAACCUUUUACUUAUUUCCUGAGUUUCAAUCUGCAUUGAGUGAGGCCGGCCACCAUAGGAAUCCUCUUAAAUUAUACGGAGUAACACCUUACUUUUUUCAA